RNAcentral lists this long non-coding RNA (207 nucleotides) under Homo sapiens (human). Its description in RNAcentral is "HSALNT0331009". The record is from RNAcentral. Lineage: Eukaryota; Metazoa; Chordata; Mammalia; Primates; Hominidae.
AGUAGCAGUGACAUCUCCUACAUGAGUCAUUUAGGUGGUGCACACACACACACAAAGAAACAAACACACACAGACACACAGAGAGACAUAGACACACAGAGGCACACACAGACACACAGAGAGACAUACAGAGACACACAUACAUACACACAAACACACACACACACAGAUACACAGACAUCUGGAGACACACAGAGACACACAGAU